AACGACCAUACCAUGCUGAAUAUGCCGGUUCUCGUUAGAUCACCGAAGUCAAGCAUCAUUGGGCGCGGUCAGUACUUGGGUGGGUGACCACCUGGGAACACCGCGUGCAGCU
This 112-nucleotide ribosomal RNA is filed under the name Caerostris extrusa. Lineage: Eukaryota; Metazoa; Arthropoda; Arachnida; Araneae; Araneidae. The record is from RNAcentral.